GAUGAAAACGCAGCGAAAUGCGAUAAGUAAUGUGAAUUGCAGAAUUCAGUGAAUCAUCGAAUCUUUGAACGCACCUUGCACUCCUUGGUAUUCCGAGGAGUACGCCUGUUCGAGUGUUAUGAAGCUCUCAAAACGCAAUUGGCUUAAAACCUGAUUGUUGUUUUGGAUUUGAACUUUGCCGUGUUAUAACGGCUGGUUUUAAAAGUAUUAGCUGGUACUAGAACGAAUUGGUUCUACUCAACGUGAUAAUUAUCUGAUCGUUGAGGACAUUCCUUUCACGAGGAAUGGCCAUAGUAAAUUCAAUGGACUGCUUCUAAUCUGGCUUUAAUUCUUUAUUGGAUUAACCACUUUUCAAAUCUGACCUCGAAUCAGGUGGGACUACCCGCUGAACUUAAGCAUAUCAAUAAGCGGAGGA
RNAcentral lists this unclassified non-coding RNA (415 nucleotides) under soil metagenome. Its description in RNAcentral is "partial contains 5.8S ribosomal RNA, internal transcribed spacer 2, and large subunit ribosomal RNA". The stretch from base 1 to 119 matches the Rfam family "5.8S ribosomal RNA", at positions 35 to 154 of the family's 154-position model. The record is from RNAcentral.